GACCGCGUAGCUCAGUUGGCAGAGCGUUGGGCUAGUAUUCCAAAGGUCGUAGGUUCGAAUCCCACCGUGGUCA
This 73-nucleotide transfer RNA is filed under the name Paramuricea clavata. It matches the Rfam family "tRNA". From Rfam's summary of the family: Transfer RNA (tRNA) molecules are approximately 80 nucleotides in length. The record is from Rfam by way of RNAcentral. Lineage: Eukaryota; Metazoa; Cnidaria; Anthozoa; Malacalcyonacea; Plexauridae.